CGGUAAUACGUAGGUGGCAAGCGUUGUCCGGAUUUAUUGGGCGUAAAGCGCGCGCAGGUGGUUUCUUAAGUCUGAUGUGAAAGCCCACGGCUCAACCGUGGAGGGUCAUUGGAAACUGGGAGACUUGAGUGCAGAAGAGGAAAGUGGAAUUCCAAGUGUAGCGGUGAAAUGCGUAGAGAUUUGGAGGAACACCAGUGGCGAAGGCGACUUUCUGGUCUGUAACUGACACUGAGGCGCGAAAGCGUGGGGAGCAAACAGGAUUA
This 263-nucleotide ribosomal RNA is filed under the name Viridibacillus arvi. Its description in RNAcentral is "partial 16S ribosomal RNA". It matches the Rfam family "Bacterial small subunit ribosomal RNA", at positions 518 to 780 of the family's 1533-position model. Lineage: Bacteria; Bacillati; Bacillota; Bacilli; Caryophanales; Caryophanaceae. The record is from RNAcentral.